RNAcentral lists this ribosomal RNA (654 nucleotides) under Bacillus pumilus. RNAcentral's name for it is "bacterial SSU rRNA". It matches the Rfam family "Bacterial small subunit ribosomal RNA", at positions 127 to 766 of the family's 1533-position model. Lineage: Bacteria; Bacillati; Bacillota; Bacilli; Caryophanales; Bacillaceae. The record is from RNAcentral.
UGCCCAUAAGACUGGGAUAACUCCGGGAAACCGGGGCUAAUACCGGAUAACAUUUUGAACCGCAUGGUUCGAAAUUGAAAGGCGGCUUCGGCUGUCACUUAUGGAUGGACCCGCGUCGCAUUAGCUAGUUGGUGAGGUAACGGCUCACCAAGGCAACGAUGCGUAGCCGACCUGAGAGGGUGAUCGGCCACACUGGGACUGAGACACGGCCCAGACUCCUACGGGAGGCAGCAGUAGGGAAUCUUCCGCAAUGGACGAAAGUCUGACGGAGCAACGCCGCGUGAGUGAUGAAGGCUUUCGGGUCGUAAAACUCUGUUGUUAGGGAAGAACAAGUGCUAGUUGAAUAAGCUGGCACCUUGACGGUACCUAACCAGAAAGCCACGGCUAACUACGUGCCAGCAGCCGCGGUAAUACGUAGGUGGCAAGCGUUAUCCGGAAUUAUUGGGCGUAAAGCGCGCGCAGGUGGUUUCUUAAGUCUGAUGUGAAAGCCCACGGCUCAACCGUGGAGGGUCAUUGGAAACUGGGAGACUUGAGUGCAGAAGAGGAAAGUGGAAUUCCAUGUGUAGCGGUGAAAUGCGUAGAGAUAUGGAGGAACACCAGUGGCGAAGGCGACUUUCUGGUCUGUAACUGACACUGAGGCGCGAAAGCGUGGGG